AACAAUUGCCAGAGAAAUACCCACCUUUACACAGGAUGAGCUUGCUGCAUGGGUCAGAAGGGCUAAGUAUGCAGGCCUUUCUCUUCCUCUGUUUGCUGCAAAGAGAGCUGGUAGCCACUAGAGGGGAGGAGACUGCCGGCUUUCCUGAGUGCUUCACGCUACAGCUUGAAGGUGCAGAAGCUGUCACAAGACUGGUUGCCCAACGAAAUGGUUUUUAAAAUUUUAUGAAGAAAGCGUGUAAGUGAAAAUACAAAGCACCUUCUAAGAAACUCAGCUAAACAAAUGCCCUUCAGCUAGGAAUAGGAAAGUAUGUUAUUAUUACACAAUUUU
RNAcentral lists this long non-coding RNA (330 nucleotides) under Anser brachyrhynchus (Pink-footed goose). RNAcentral's name for it is "lncRNA (ENSABRG00000017433.1)". The record is from RNAcentral. Lineage: Eukaryota; Metazoa; Chordata; Aves; Anseriformes; Anatidae.